CCUACGGGCGGCUGCAGUGGGGAAUUUUCGGCAAUGGGGGCAACCCUGACCGAGCAAUGCCGCGUGAAUGAUUAAGGCCUUCGGGUCGUAAAAUUCUGUUAUUAGGAAUGAACUUUAUGAGGAGGAAAUGCCUUAUAAUUGACAGUACCUGAUUAGAAAGCCCCGGCUAACUAUGUGCCAGCAGCCGCGGUAAUACAUAGGGGGCAAGCGUUAUCCGGAAUUAUUGGGCGUAAAGAGUGCGUAGGCGGUUUAUUAAGUUUGAUGUAAAAUACUAUAGCUUAACUAUAGAGGGUCAUUGAAAACUGGUAGACUUGAGUACGGUAGAGGUAAGUGGAAUUUCUAGUGGAGCGGUGGAAUGCGUAGAUAUUAGAAGGAACACCAAUGGCGAAGGCAGCUUACUGGGCCGGAACUGACGCUGAGGCACGAAAGCGUGGGGAGCAAACAGGAUUAGAUACCCCGGUAGUC
This 465-nucleotide ribosomal RNA is filed under the name uncultured bacterium. RNAcentral's name for it is "bacterial SSU rRNA". It matches the Rfam family "Bacterial small subunit ribosomal RNA", at positions 338 to 795 of the family's 1533-position model. The record is from RNAcentral.